This 434-nucleotide ribosomal RNA is filed under the name uncultured bacterium. Its description in RNAcentral is "bacterial SSU rRNA". It matches the Rfam family "Bacterial small subunit ribosomal RNA", at positions 958 to 1392 of the family's 1533-position model. The record is from RNAcentral.
AACGCGAAGAACCUUACCUACUCUUGACAUCCAGAGAACUUUCCAGAGAUGGAUUGGUGCCUUCGGGAACUCUGAGACAGGUGCUGCAUGGCUGUCGUCAGCUCGUGUUGUGAAAUGUUGGGUUAAGUCCCGCAACGAGCGCAACCCUUAUCCUUUGUUGCCAGCGAUUCGGUCGGGAACUCAAAGGAGACUGCCAGUGAUAAACUGGAGGAAGGUGGGGAUGACGUCAAGUCAUCAUGGCCCUUACGAGUAGGGCUACACACGUGCUACAAUGGCAUAUACAAAGAGAAGCGACCUCGCGAGAGCAAGCGGACCUCAUAAAGUAUGUCGUAGUCCGGAUCGGAGUCUGCAACUCGACUCCGUGAAGUCGGAAUCGCUAGUAAUCGUAGAUCAGAAUGCUACGGUGAAUACGUUCCCGGGUCUUGUACACACCG